GCCACCCUAGCUCAGAUGGUAGAGCAUCGCAUUCGUAACGCGAAGGUCCGGAGUUCGAUCCUCCGGGGUGGCU
RNAcentral lists this transfer RNA (73 nucleotides) under Candidatus Kaiserbacteria bacterium CG_4_10_14_0_2_um_filter_50_16. Its description in RNAcentral is "tRNA-Thr". It matches the Rfam family "tRNA". Rfam says of the family: Transfer RNA (tRNA) molecules are approximately 80 nucleotides in length. Their secondary structure includes four short double-helical elements and three loops (D, anti-codon, and T loops). Lineage: Bacteria; Candidatus Kaiseribacteriota. RNAcentral also lists the same sequence under 2 other names. The record is from RNAcentral.